Molecule: long non-coding RNA, 4820 nt
Filed under: Sus scrofa (pig)
Lineage: Eukaryota; Metazoa; Chordata; Mammalia; Artiodactyla; Suidae
Description: lncRNA (ENSSSCG00000051946.1)
Source: RNAcentral
GGGUUGAAAUAGCACCCUAGAAGGAAAAGGGGGAAUAUCAGGCUAUGAUAAAGUGAGGAGGAGGUGCAUGCAGCAUACAUAUAUUUUUCAAUGCUUAAACGCAUUUUGCAAAAGUUUUUUGCUGAUCUCCUUAAGUUUACUACUGGUCACAAGGAGCAGACAUCACCAUGAAGGAUUUUAGUGUUUUUCUAGAUAUAGGGAGAUAUAAGAAUUGGGCACAUAAAAUCUUCUCCUAAAAAUAUCUGUCUGCAGAUCUGUUCUUCCAGUUUUCCCAGAGCACAGAGUGCCUCGCUCCUGAUGUUCACCCUGAGAUCUGCUCAGGGGUGUUGUGUGUCAGCAGCUGUAGUGGAUCAUAAUUUAAUCCAUGUAGAGGCUGAUGGCAAGUGCCAAACUUCACUUCACGUAUGUAAAGUGUAAGGAAAGGGACACUAUGCACGGAUUAAUGAACACUGUCUUUGGGGGUUUUUCGGAGUCUGAUGUAACUGAACCAAGGACAGUGGGCUGGAUACCAGAGUUGAAAUACAGUGGAGAAAGGGCUAGAGGGCUUUAGUCCAUAGAGAAGGGCUUUAGCCUUCUCUAUAAAGGCUUCUCUAUGAAGGCAAGAGGGCCUUAGCUAAAGGCUUCUCUUUGAAGGGCUAAAGGGCUAAAUGGCUAAAGGGCUUUAGCCCUUCAAAGAGAAAGGACUAAAGCCUGAGACUAAAAUUGGACACAUUUGUCACUGGUGGAUAUAUCAUCUCUGUCUUGGCCCUGACUCCAACUAAAUAGCGGAAAUCAAUCAUUGAUAGAUUCAUUCAACAAAAAUUUACAGCGUCUGUAUGUGUAAGGUACUGAGCUGCUUGAUUAAAGAGUAAAUGUAGCAUAGCAAGACAUAUGCAUAUCAGGAGAAUUGUAUUUAAAACACCUUUUAAAAAACCUCUGUUGACAACUAUCUUCUUUAGAUACACACAGGGAUUUUGUGUGUGUGUGUUAUGUACAUGUGUGAUUUUAAUUUUUAGUUUUUAAUUCUGUUACAAAUAUGAUGGUCAAGUUUUUUGUUUUUUUUUGUUUUUUCCUUACAAGGUGUUGAGAGAUAUUGACUUGGUGAUUUCAGAUGCUAUUGGUUUGGGAAGGUCCAUUCUAAACUGUAAAAACACAUAUAAUGUUUUGCUGACAUGUAUAAGUAGUUGCAGAGUCACUGUCUCAAAAUUUUUCUUAUUCUUCAUCUGUCCUCCCAUCUUUGAGGUCAGCUAGCUGAUUGUGUGACUGAAAUCAGAGAAACCUCAAGUAAUGUAUAUUUGAAGGCAGGUGUUUUAUUUAACCCUGGAUGAUUCAGUCUUAGAUGAUUUUAUUACAUGACAGUCACUGAACCUUCAAAUUUCAUGUAACUCUGUAGUUAUUGUUUUAUAAAUAAAAUCAUUGAGAAGAGUUUCAUUCUACUAGGGGCCACUGUGAGAUGUAGCAAAAAAAAAAAAGUUGGUGGACCAUGGACAGGUAAAUUUUAUAUUUUAAAAAAAGCUGAUUUAUGUUUAUUCUAAUUUUGUUGAAGUUUGUGUUUUCAUGUUAUUAUUUGAUUUUAUAAAACAUAAAUUAGAACCAAAUGUCCUUUGUUUCACAUACAUAAGUUUAAAGAUAAAAGAAGCAUUUAUCUUAUUAGCAAUUGGUGCUAUGCAUCUAAACUAAGAAGCCCAACUUUACUGUAAGACACUUUAUUUUUAAGUCUUUUGGCAACAUAGGUGAAAUAAUAAUUCAAUUUUAUGAGCUUUGGGAAAGACUGAGGUAACAUUUUGGAUGAAUGUGGCUUAAAGGGGAAAUCAAAUUUAUUUUGUCCACCUCGAUGUGCCAGCUAAGAAAUUAGGUGGAAUAUUGAUUUUGGAAAAUUGAGUCAUACUCUUUUUAUGAUAAAUGAAAGAAAAGAGAUGGAUGGAAGGAAGGAAGCAAGGUAGGUAGGAAGGAAGGAAGGGGAGAGAGGGAGAGAAAGAGGAAGGAAGGAAGGAAGGAAGGAAGGUUGAAGAAAAGAAGGAAGAAAACCUUAAAAUAACUUAUUACGUAGAGGACCGUUAAGAUCUGGAUAUCUUUACUUUUUUGAGCAUAAUAAUUGGAAAAAAAUAAAGCAAAAAAUGUGUCAGAGUUGAUUGGCAUUAUAUACAGAAAUACCAGAAGAGUGUAUAAUGAGGCUGAGAAUGCAGAACUAACGAAGAAGUAUUAUAGCAGGAAAGAAAAAGGAAGACCGGUGUGGGAAACUGGAGAUGAAGAAAAAGUAGCUAGUGAGGAGAUCAGACAAUUUCUCUAACCCUCCAGGAACUAAACACACAAAGGAGCCCAAUUAGGAAUAAACUAGCUAGAAGGAAUAUUUCAUAAUAAAUUGGGGAUUAUCAGUUUGCCUAAAGGGAAUGAAAUCAGAGCAUUGGAGCCUCCUUAUUUCAGAACCAAAUGCUUUAUUUUUUAAAUUUUUUGAUACAAAUGUUCUUGCUUUUCAUAUCGUAAAUUAAAAAAAAAAUCAUGUGUGAAACAAAUGAACAACUAACCAAACUUUCUGAUUUCUGAGAGAAGAAUCAUUUUCACUUGAACCAUGGAUAAAAGGAGAUAUUGAAAAUAUUUGUCCAGAUCUUUUUUUUGUCAAUGCCAGGUUACUGUAAUGUAUUCUCUGGGUAUUCACAGAUUUCUUGGAGACUUUUCAUUUGCCAGUUUCACUGACAGCUUCUCCAGAUAUAGGUAACAUAUACUCAGUGUAUAGAAACCUGAAACUUGAUCUUGACAGACUCUAAAAGAAUAAUUCAGAGUCAUUUCUGAUUGCUUAAAUAAGUUAAUUUGAAACAAUAGCAAAAUGUUUUAAACAGAAAAGUGGUCAAUACUUCUGCCGACAAUGCUUCUGUUCCCGGAUCUUUUAUCAUGUCAGUUCUGAGUACUGCCAGCCACUAAAUAAACCGAAGGAAAACAAAGAAUACCAUCAGUGUUCAGUAACUUAGAUAUUUUUAUUAUCCCUGCGAAAUAAGUGACCCUGUGAAUAAGAACAGUGUGGUUUCUCAUCCUCCUCUUCAGGAUACAUUUUGUUGUUUCUUUAAAACAAUAUAUUACAAUAGAGGAUGUUUUUGAUGAUCCUCUAUUCUGAAGUCUGUGGUUCUCCACACCGCCAAUGGCACACAAAAUGUUUAGUCUUUCAUGGCUGUUUCUGAUUUUUCUGGGGGUAAGACUGGCAUCUUACUUUGAAAGACUAUAGGCUGUCAACUCUAAACACCAGAGAGUGACCUAGACAAGGUUUGAAGAAUUCACUGCAUUGUCUUAAAACCAUUAGCUGGGUAUAUUUAUGCACAAAUAUUUAUUGAGCAUCUGGUAUUUUGGCUGGGUGCUUAGGGACAAAACCUGAAAUGUAAUACAUUCUUCAGCCACAAAGAAAUCACAAGUAAGCAAAUGAUUACAAUAGAGCGUGAUAAAGGCAAGGAGAACAAAGUUUGAAGGAGAAACUAGUAGGUAGUUUGGAGGGAAAGGAGAAAAUCAGAGUAGGAUUCCUAGAAAAGCAGGAGACUUGUGAUCUGAGUCUUAGAAAGCAAAUAGAAAAUUGAAAUUAACUACUUGAAGGUGAGUUUUGGGAGGGAAGUGGGAUAAGAAUUAAUGUUUAACAUUACAUUCCUGAAGGAGUAUCUGUCAUUCACUGUUUCAUUUAGCAAAUAUAUAUUGAACAACUACAAUGUUGCUUGGCUGAACUCUCCGGAAUAACAAUGAACAGGAAAAAAAAAAAAAUUGACUCUGAGUGGAUCUUUCAUUCUUGAGGGUAGACAGACAAGACACAAAUAAUUACAAUAUAAGCUACCACUCAUAAAGUACACACUAUGUGCCAGAUAUUAUUCUCAGGCUUUAUAUAAAACCACCGAUUUCAAAUUUGUUAACAACCCAUUGAGAAAGCUUCUGCUAUUAUUGAAUAAACUGGGGAAUAGUCAGUCUACUCAUGUUACUCAUAGAGUGAUGGGCUGGGUGUCAAAACUAGGCAACUUGGACUUGGGGUUUAUUCCUUCAAGUACUAUAGUAGAUUGCCUAUCAAAAUAAAUAAAUGAAUAUGUAAUAUCACCUUGGGAUGUGGGAAGAAACAUGAGGAAAAAGAAAACUGAGUAAGCAGAGAAGGUGUUGGAAGGGAAUAUGCUGUUUUCAAUAGCAGAGCAGACACUGUCAGUUCUUUGAAUAUACCUCUUGGUCCUUAAGUGGGACAAGGCCAACCUCCAACUACUAGAAGGAACUGCAUGUCUUUGAGAUUUUUUUUUUUGAAGUCAGAGAAAGGCUUCUCUAGUCUGGAACAAGGCAGAAGCGAAGUGGGGGAGACUUAACACCCUUAGAAUAGCUGUCAAACAAUCAUUUUCAGAACUUGAUCUACAACCAUCCUCAGCUUCCUGAGCCCUCAUGAAGGAUGGCUCCAAAGAAUGUUCUAGACUGUUCACCAGACAUCUUUUUGUUUGUUUGUUUUAUAUGUUUGUUUCUGUAGAAUUGAGCUCAGUAGGCCCACAGUGGUGGCUGGCCUAGCCCCACACUCUUUAUUGGCUCUGUGCUUUUCCUGUCUCAUUUCUUCACCCUUGCAUGCAUGUUUCCCUUUACCUCCCAAAUGGACAUUUAUCCUUAAAUCCCUGCCUUAGAGUCUGCCUUUAGGAAAGCCUAAACUAAGAUAAAUUGGCUGAUCAAGAAAUGUGUCUCUGAGGGACAUUUGUGGGGAAGAGCUUUCUGGGUAGAGGAAGCUGUACAUGCCAGGAACAUGAGAAGGGCAUCAGCAAGGCAUCUGUGACUGUCUGGAGUAAGGACAGGGAGUAUGUAAGAAAUGAGUUUGAGAAGUAGGUGGGGACCAGGUAGUAGAGAACUUU